GCUGGGCAUGGUGGUGCAAGCCUGUAGUCCCAGCUACUCAGGAGGCUGAGGCAGGAGGAUCACUUGAGCCCAGGAGGUGGAGGUUGCAGUGAGCCGAGAUUGUGCCACUGCACUCCAAACUUGGGCAACAGAGGGAGACCCUGUCUCAA
Pongo abelii (Sumatran orangutan) is the source of this 149-nucleotide unclassified non-coding RNA. It matches the Rfam family "Metazoan signal recognition particle RNA". From Rfam's summary of the family: The signal recognition particle (SRP) is a universally conserved ribonucleoprotein. It is involved in the co-translational targeting of proteins to membranes. Lineage: Eukaryota; Metazoa; Chordata; Mammalia; Primates; Hominidae. The record is from Ensembl.